Molecule: long non-coding RNA, 235 nt
Filed under: Elaeis guineensis (African oil palm)
Lineage: Eukaryota; Viridiplantae; Streptophyta; Magnoliopsida; Arecales; Arecaceae
Description: long non-coding RNA (EGUI_LNC010121)
Source: RNAcentral
CGGGGGGUAGAGAGAGUUGCCGACAUCGGGGGAGGAGAUUGGAUUAUGGGAGUUGAUAUAGCUUCUGCUCGAGUGGAAGAAGUCGGAAGGAGCUUCUCUCUCUGUUUGGCUUUGGAGGGCCUUUGCUUCUUCUGGACCCCAGCAGCAGUUGAUGAGUGUGCAUUCUUCCUCCUCAGUGCCUCAAGCUCUUUGGGCCUCAUAUCUGCAACAAACUGAAACAAGCUAAGAAGAAAAG